CUGUGAUGGGGAGCGAAAAUUAUAGUAGCGAAGGUCAUGAUCUCACACUGCCAAGAAAAGCCUCUAGCCAGGUGAUGGUGCCCGUACCGCAAACCGACACAGGUAGGCGAGAAGAGAAUUCUAAGGCGCGCGGAAGAACUCUCGUUAAGGAACUCGGCAAAAUGACCCCGUAACUUCGGGAGAAGGGGUGCCCCGGUAGUGUGAAUAGCACGAGGGGGCCGCAGUGAAAAGGCCCAAGCGACUGUUUAGCAAAAACACAGGUCUGUGCGAAGCCGUAAGGCGAAGUAUACGGGCUGACGCCUGCCCGGUGCUGGAAGGUUAAGGGGAGCGGUUAGGAGCAAUCCGAAGCUGUGAACCGAAGCCCCAGUAAACGGCGGCCGUAACUAUAACGGUCCUAAGGUAGCGAAAUUCCUUGUCAGGUAAAUUCUGACCCGCACGAAUGGCGUAACGACUUGGGCGCUGUCUCAACGAGAGAUCCGGUGAAAUUUUAAUACCUGUGAAGAUGCAGGUUACCCGCGACAAGACGGAAAGACCCCAUGGAGCUUUACUGCAGCUUGAUAUUGAAUUUGGGU
Molecule: ribosomal RNA, 572 nt
Filed under: Salmonella enterica
Lineage: Bacteria; Pseudomonadati; Pseudomonadota; Gammaproteobacteria; Enterobacterales; Enterobacteriaceae
Description: partial 23S ribosomal RNA
Rfam family: Bacterial large subunit ribosomal RNA
Source: RNAcentral